This is a non-coding RNA of Xenopus laevis (African clawed frog), 119 nucleotides long. The record is from Rfam. NCBI's taxonomy places the organism in Eukaryota, Metazoa, Chordata, Amphibia, Anura, Pipidae.
CUGCAAACUAGAUCACUAGAUCUGCAUGAUGUUGCAGAAUCAAGGGGAACACGUUUGCUAGAGAAAGCAGCAGUGGGAAAAUGGUAGCAUUGGUUUAUCCGGUCUACUAUAUUAUCCUA